GGAUAUUGGUAGUUUAAGAUUUGAAAAUAACAACUUGUGGGGUUGUAGAUGUUUGUGAUAAGCCCUUAUCCC
RNAcentral lists this transfer RNA (72 nucleotides) under Euapta godeffroyi. RNAcentral's name for it is "tRNA-His". The record is from RNAcentral. Lineage: Eukaryota; Metazoa; Echinodermata; Holothuroidea; Apodida; Synaptidae.